AGAGUUUGAUCCUGGCUCAGAUUGAACGCUGGCGGCAUGCUUUACAUAUGCAAGUCGAACGGCAGCACGGGUGCUUGCACCUGGUGGCGAGUGGCGAACGGGUGAGUAAUGCACCGGAACGUACCCAGUAAUGGGGGAUAACACAUCGAAAGAUGUGCUAAUACCGCAUACGCCCUGAGGGGGAAAGCGGGGGAUCGUAAGACCUCGCGUUAUUGGAGCGGCCGAUGCCGGAUUAGCUAGUUGGUGAGGUAAGAGCUCACCAAGGCGACGAUCCGUAGCUGGUCUGAGAGGACGACCAGCCACACUGGGACUGAGACACGGCCCAGACUCCUACGGGAGGCAGCAGUGGGGAAUUUUGGACAAUGGGCGCAAGCCUGAUCCAGCCAUGCCGCGUGAGUGAAGAAGGCCUUCGGGUUGUAAAGCUCUUUCGCAAGGAAAGAAAACUUAUCUACUAA
This 455-nucleotide ribosomal RNA is filed under the name uncultured bacterium. RNAcentral describes it as "bacterial SSU rRNA". It matches the Rfam family "Bacterial small subunit ribosomal RNA", at positions 8 to 463 of the family's 1533-position model. The record is from RNAcentral.